CCACUUCUUUUCUUUUCUUCCUCCGGCUCCAUCUUUCCCCUCUUGACCUAAUCGAUUUCGAUCUCUUUUUUACAUCUUUCCCCUCCCGACCUAAUCGAUUUCGAUCUUUUUUUUUUUUUCGUUGUUCUAGCUGUGUAUUUUUCCUUCUUGAAGUGGUCUGCCUGCGGAGCGUGAUGAUGUUGUAAUGUCGCCCCAGUCUUACGACCCGUUCAUCUUGGGACUGGCGAUGCUCACCUCCUCAUCUGAAGCCCGAAGAGAAGAACAAGAGAAAAGAAAAAAAAAAAAGAGAGAAAAGAAAGGGAAAGAGAUGUGUGUCGGCUGGUUGGGUGGUGGCUUGGUCAGGAUCUAUCAAUUGACACCACUCCUACUAUUAUUCUUUAAAACUCUUGUGCAUAUUCCUUCAAAAUGUAUUAAUCUUCACAUAAAUCAACUUGAAUUCUCUGCAUUAUUUCUUCAUUUUGUGUCAAGAAAUAAAUGAAUUGGGUUCAAACCUUGAGUGCUGCUUAAAUAUUUUAAAGAAUCCUAUGAUUUGAUGAA
This is a non-coding RNA of Elaeis guineensis (African oil palm), 537 nucleotides long. Lineage: Eukaryota; Viridiplantae; Streptophyta; Magnoliopsida; Arecales; Arecaceae. The record is from RefSeq and is a predicted model, not a curated record.